This is a non-coding RNA of Cricetulus griseus (Chinese hamster), 129 nucleotides long. Ensembl annotates it as small Cajal body-specific RNA 24. The record is from Ensembl. NCBI's taxonomy places the organism in Eukaryota, Metazoa, Chordata, Mammalia, Rodentia, Cricetidae.
UGGACAUUUAUAUUGUCAGUUUCUUCUCAAGGUGAAGAUAACUUUUUUAUAAAUGUCCUAGAGAAAUAUAGUAGCUUUCUGUUCAUCCUUUGCAAGAAGAAAGGGUGGAUCGUUCCACUACUGACAUUU